GCUCUCGUGGCGCGGUGGAUGUGCUCGCGCUCCGUGUGCUGGAGGUCGCGGGUUCGACUCCCGGUCGCGCCCG
Molecule: non-coding RNA, 73 nt
Organism: Aphelenchus avenae
Lineage: Eukaryota; Metazoa; Nematoda; Chromadorea; Rhabditida; Aphelenchidae
Source: the annotation of a GenBank genome assembly